CUUCAGAGAGACAACAGUUGAUUUUCUGGUCAUACCUUGAACCUUGUGUAUCGUGCAUGCAAAGGCAAGUUUCACAGGAAACUGUCUGCGUACCACUCCUUUCUGUUGCAGAGCCUCCUCAGAUCUCUCGAUGUACACAAGAUUGUCUCCUCGAGUACGAUAGCUCCUGCCAGCUGUUUCAUCAUCCAUCCUGAGACCAAGCAUAGUGACAAGAGCAGAACUGUUGUUUUCAGAGCUUAUGAGACGGCCUACUGUAGCAAAUGAUCCGUUCACCAAUCCUUGAGACACAUCUAUGUUUCUGGUAAGCAUGACUCUAGCACCUACUGCAACAUCUAGGGUGUCAGGUAGAUCAUUUCUGCUUCCAUGACAUGGUGCACCUUGUCUUUUCAUGUGUCCAGUGUGUGGGUCUUUUUUCAAGUCAUCUGCAUCAAUGGUGGUGAUAUCAGAAUGGAGCAGAGAUAUUGUAGCAGAGUUGUGUGCUGCGACUUGUUUGUUUGUAGCAAAAAUGUGCAGGACAUCAGAGGGACACAGUUGUGGUUCAGUGACACGCUGUGACAGCAGAGCUCUGUCAGCUUCAGAAAGCUCAUCUGACCUUGUUUUCACACGGAGUCUGUUCAGCAUCUCGGCAAAAGUUUUGUCAUCCUUCUGUCGCAUGAUCUCAUCUAAAGUGAUCACCUGGAAGUUGUCUCUCCAGAGGUCAAGCUCACUUGGAUCAUAGACACAGAGUGGUUUGGACUGUCGCACAGGUGGUAGCUGGUAAAAGUCUCCCACAGCAAUGACUGACAUUCCUCCAAAGGGUCUGUGGCUACCUUUAAUCUGUUUCAGUCUCAUAUCCACAUAGGCAAACAGAGGCUUCGACACCAUGGAGAUUUCAUCAAUGAUGAUGAUUUCAGCGUUUAAAAGCUCACACCUGAUUUCAUCAAGUUGGUUCCCAAGACCUUGAAAAGGAGGUUUCAAACUUCUGGGCAGCUUGAGGAGAGAGUGCAGUGUUGUUCCAGAGAUGUUAAAGGCUGCAGUUCCAGUGAAAGCAGUCAACAGCACAGUCGGGUUUGAGAUGUCAGCUUCCUCAGCACGUCUAGGUAGUGUUCUCAGAAUCUUUGAUGCUUCUGAAUGAAUGCAUUUAAUGAGAUGUGACUUUCCAGUGCCAGCACCACCAUUGAUGUAGUAGAAAAACUGCUCUGGUUGUGGUCCACAGACUCGUUUUAUGCACCAGUCUCUCACUGCAUAGAACACACAUGCCUGUUUCUGGUUCAGACUCUGAUACAUUUGUCGUAACCGUGUGGGAUCGAUUGUAGGGGGCUCUCUCAUGACUCUGGCCUCUGUAGCAGCAUUUGCUUGUCUGCUGUAAUCUGGUACAUCCUCUUGGACAUUUUCACACUGUCUGGCGUCCAGUUCAUCGAUACACUCCAACCUCACCAGUUCAGAUUCAGGUGCCAAAUUACACCAUUCAUCGACCACACCUCUGUUCUGUUCAAAGUCCUCGAGAGCAGAGUCAAUUUCCUCACUGUUUUUUUCAUAUCUCUCUCUGUUUCUUUUCACGAUGAGUUUCACACUCAGGGGUCGGUCAGAAUACGGCAGCUGAACCACACCUCUCUCAUAGAAUGACUCAUACGUGGGAAAAUAUGGUCUUUUCAGCUCAUCGUCUGAUCUGUAUGGAAGAUACAGUCUAAGCAAUGUGCCGUAAAACUGCUCAGGGUAUUUCUCUUUGGAUAUGCGGCGAUACCUGAUGACAGCAGCGUUGUCACUUUCUCGUCUCUGUAUGAAGCCUAGUUCAUUCAGCAAAGGUACCACUUUCUUGCCCUUGGUCUGUUGUCCAUACACCAGUCUGCAGGUAGACGCAAAAUCAGCCAUGCACAUCUCUUCAAACUCUGGUGAUUCAGGUCUGGAUUUGUACUUGUCUGUUAAGGAUGUCAUCCACACAUUCAAGCUGUCUGGUGUAGUGUUGUCAAGGCUUGACACAGGCAGACUCAUUUUCACUGGGUUGUCAUCAGUUGGGACAAAAACCACACUGCGUGAACUCUUUUUCAUGUUCAGUGAAGUCACUCGGGCAACAGCUUCUUGUGCUGAUACUUCUCGCUUUUUGGAAUACGCCUGCAUGACCGCUUUCAUUUCAUCACAUUCAUUGACACAUUCUCUGUCGGAGUUCUGAAUGAGUGUUUGCAGGUACUGGCUCACAGAGUUCUCACUUUUACACAUGUACGUACAUAUGUAAUGGAUCAGACUGUAGUAGCUGAGAAUGAACUGCACGUCAAUGUUUGCAUCCCAAGCUUUGAGCAGGUGAGGGUUGUAGGUGUUUACCCAGCAGUCUUUUGGCUCACGCUUCAGAAUGAUGUUGCUGGACUGACUCAUCACAUUCAUGUGUUUCUCAUACUCAUCAGCGGUUAAGUCACAGACAGACAGGAGCUGUUGAAAACUCAUGGAUUCAGUUUGUGUCUCAUUCAGCAGCUGAUUCAGUGGUGCAAGUUUCUCUUUGGCUCUCUUAAGUCUCUCUGACUCCUCAUCAUCACCCACAGGUCUUGUUAUCAUUGUCUGUCUGGAGGGUGGUUUUGGGAAUCCAAAUCGGCAUCCAGAACUUGCACUUUUGAAACAUGUCUUUGAGUGGUUCUUACUGUGUAUUUGCACUUCUUUGACCUUUUUGUACAGUUCAGGCUGUUUGUUUGGGUCAGGGAGCUGAGCAGAGAUGUGUUUGGACACAAAGUCACACACAGUUUUGUCAGAGUCUCUCUCAAACACAGGUGCACCUUCUACCCACAAAAGACCAUGUAUAUGAGGACUUCCUCUGUGCUGAAACUCGAGACGCCAAAAGAAGUCAAAAACUUUGCCCAGGGGUUGUGCAGGAGACAUGAUCAGAUCUCUGUACAGUGCUUCAACACGCUUAUCAAACAUGCGCAUCGUUGUCACAGGAUUGCUUCUCAGAAUGUCACACUUUGUGGACCAGUCGAGCUCUUCAAAAUUCACCUCCUCACCUUGUUGUAAUUUUAUUGCAAUAAUCACCUCAGGCCAACGCAUUUCUGCUGCAGAAAAUGUGACAAAGAAAGUAGGACUGCCCAACUGUCUGAUCAUAGCAAACAGAUCUUUUGUAGUUUUGUCCCAGUAGGCUGGUGUUCCUCUGAGCGGCUGCAUAAAUCUGAUAGCAUCUCUGUUUCUCACCAGUCUCUCCACUUCGUAUUUGUCUCUCAACAUUCUGGAUGUUAUUUUACGUCCGUCUCUGGUCAAAGGUUUGCCUUUGCGUAACUGUAUUGACAUGCUGGAGGUAGCCAAGUGUAUUUCAGUCACAAACUGUGCAAAGAACAGGUAGUUGGUAUCUUUGGCAAAGCGAUCAUCAACACCAAAGAGCCUUGCUUUAAAAUAACUACUGGGUGAUAGUUUCAUUGGUCUGUUUUCAUCCAGUGUAUUCUCACCAGUGGGAAACUGAACAGGAAACGCCAUGGCCUCUAGUUUGGGUGUUUUGAAAAAACUGACUGGAUUGUUUCUCUCUGCUGGAGCUACUGAGUAUGUAGACUCACUGAAACACAAUAUCUCCUCAGAAACAUCCCGUGGCUGAAGGCACGACUCCAAAACAACACCACCAUUAGAUAUGUCUGCAUCCUGUUGUUGUGUCUGAUCAUCAUUGUCCUGGGUCUGACUUUUAUCACACAGCUCUGUGUGCUCAUCCUCAUUUUCAACAUUAGUUUCAGCCUCAUACAUGGCAGCAGCCUCAAUUCUAUCAAUUUCCAUCAAAUCCUCAUCAUCAUAGUCGUCAUCAUUCAUUGUAAUAUCAUUACCAUCAUCCUCAUCCUCAUCCUCAUCACCAUCAUCAGGAAGUGUGGGGUCACAUAACUCCUCCUCAUCUCUAAUAGUGAUGUCUUCAUACUGGGGGUGUGUCUCUUUCAGUUUAUGCAGAGCCUGCACUAGCUUGGACCAGGUAACAGUCUGAAACAGAUGGUGACCUCUGUAACUCAAACGUCUCUUCAGUUUUACUCUCAUCACCUGAGACUCAUUUCUCAAUCUGGGUAGAGCCUGAAUUGUUUCCUGGACUUCAGAGGGAACACAUACAACAUUACCAUGUAUAGCUCUCUGUCUGCCUUUGGGAAGAGGAAUGAUUUUGGCAAAUGUUAUGCACUUUGCUAUUAGAUGUCUCUCCAGUAUGUUGAGGUCACACAGCUCAGGUGGUAUGUCAGCAAGCUCCAAGUUGUUUGCUAUGGCAAGUUUGGGCAUGGAUCCAUUUUUCAGAUGGUCAUGGCAGGUGUGACAAAUCCACUCAGUCUUUCUCUCAUCAGGGACAGUGCACUGAUUUCUGUAGUCAUCGUUACAAUCAUGGACGUACUGACCUUUGAGACAAGCUGAAACCAUGAUUGGAUUUUUCACAUAGUUGGACCUCUUGCACUUUUGCACCUGGUUUGGAAAUGAGGCUUUGUGGCAAACUGUGCAAACAUGGGUGGGACCAGCUUUAAUGUGUGAUCGGAAAUCAUUUAUGGCACUUUCAAUAAGUGGGUUUUCACUCUCUCUGUCAGUCUCACAUGUUUGUCUACUUAUCUGUUUGUAUUUCUUUGAUAUUUUCAAUGCACACCUCAUUUUAUGCAUAGUCCUGUAUGCAAGAUUUGUCUUAUACCUGUCUCGCAUUAUUUGUCUCAUCAGUUGUCUGUGUCGGUGAUGGAAUGUUUCAUCAUUUGAAUAUCGAUGAUUGAAGUAGGAUCUCUGUCUUUGGCGGAAAUCAACAUCCUCUGAGUAUUUUUUCCUGAAAUAUUCUUUUCGUCUGCCUUUAAAAUCAACAUUUUCUCUGUAUUUUUUCCUGAAAUAUAACUUUUGUCUUCCUUUAAAAUCAACAUUUUCUCUGUAUUUUCUUGUGAUAUAUUCUUUUUGUCUGCCUUUAAAAUCAACAUUUUCUCUGUAUUUCCUUGUGAUAUAUUCUUUUUGUCUGCCUUUAAAUUCAACAUUUUCUUUGUAUUUUUUGGUGAUAUAUUCUUUUUGUUUCAGUCUGAAGUCUGUGCUUUCUCUGUAUUUAGUUGUGAUCUUUUGUCUUUUCUUUGUUUGUAUUUCAGGAUUGACAGAAUAUUUCUCACUUGAAUAAGACUUUUUCUUUGCUUUGUAUGUUUCAUUCUUAGCAUACUUUUCUCUUUCUCUCCUUUUUUGAUUCUCUUUCUUUUCAGAUGUCUUUCCAGAUCUCAUUAGUCUCCUCUUAAAUUUCAUUUUUUGCUGUUUGCUUAAUUUUGACAGUUUAGUGGAGAUGUCAUGGAUAACUUUGUCACUAGCAACGGGGAUCGUUAUCAAUGGUUGUGUCAAAUUUGAUUUUGUCUGUUGAGUUUCCUCUAAUGUGACAGAAGUAUUGUUGAUCUGACCUGGUUGAUGAGCUUGAGUUUCCAUCAAAGUUGAGGCUUUCUGUGAUGUGUCAUCACUUACAGUAGUGUUAAUCUCUGGAGUGAGAAAUUCAGGACCAGUUAAUGUGACAGAACACUGGCUGAAGUCGAUCAGUGGUUCUGGUUCAAUUUCCAUGUCAUGUUCAGAGUUUUCAUGGACAUCAGUGUUCAUCUGUGGAGCACUUGUGUAAUCAUCUAUCACGGUGGUUUUGACAGAGGGACUUGUGGACGGACUUUCUGUGGCUGGGAUAGCAUCACUUGGGUUCACAUCACAAAACACAACUGGCUUGAGCUCAUAGCGACAGGACCCUGCUGUGCCCAAUAUAUGGUGAUACCUGAUGAGCCUGUGAAUCAUGUCACUGAGUCGUCUGAAUGUUACCAUGACAGCGGUUCCAGGAGUAGGUGUGGCCUUAAGCAGAGGCAAACCGUUAGCUGUCCGAGCAUGUGGGUCAAAGAAACCGUACCUGCCAUCUCUGGUUCUGAAAACUGCAAUGCACAACGAAGUCAUUAGCAGCAAAGCAUACUGCACAUCUGUUAAUAAGCAGCUCAGUCCUGAAACGAGGUCCAGAAAGGUAUCAACAGCUCCGGGAUCCGGAUCUCCAAACGUACCGUAUCUAGACAGCUGUAACUUGUCAAAUAUCUGCGUGUGUCUGCGUGCAGGAACCAGGUCAGGGAGCUCAUCGGUUGUCAGAUGGCUGUGAUCACGAACAGUUUUUCUGACUUCUCUGUACAUCACAUCACCUUUAUCCAAAACACGGUCCAGGUCUGCUCUGGUGAUGUGUUCAUUCUCAUACAGGAAUGCUAGAAAUGUCAGUGAGUUACAGGUGCACUGCUGGUUUCUGGAUUGGCCGUAUUUCAGAGACGCUUGGCUGCGUGACGCACAGACGCUUUGUUCACCUGACUGACUAACAGCGUUAACAUUUCUUACCCGAGAAGAGCCUGAUACAGACUGAUAAUUACUGUGGUUUCCCUUCUUAACAGUGUCUGCAUGUGAUACCUGGGUUGAGCAUGGCUUUUCAGUUUGGGCUAUGUAGUUCACCUGAUGAGAGUUAGAAGGACCUGCUGCAGGUGACUCACUUACACGUCUCCUCUUAAGCACGUCUGCAUAAGAUACCUGUGGUUGACAUGACGCACUUUGACCUCCCUGUUUCACAGCAUCAGAUACUUCAGACCUCUUUACCUCUCCACUGCUCUGAGGAAUACCAUCUGCUUGUCCAGUACUCACAUGGUCAAUGUCAUGAAACCUCUGCCAGCGCUGGCUUGCAACCUGUGACCUCUUACUCUUUCUCGGCAUUGUAGCUGUCCUUACACAACAAUGUGUUUAUUCAACAAUUUAAAGUUAAUGACAAGCACCAGUACAGACAAAACGCUUUAUUUCUUAAAGAGAGGAGGUUAUUUAACAGCUCUUAUAGUCUCCAAAAUAUCUAAUUUAUAACUGUGUGUAUACCACAAUAGUUUAUCAAAUGUUUUCUAAGGAAAUCCUAGGCAAGGCUAUAUAAAUGUUUUCAGAAAAAAACACAAAUCAGCAACUAUUUGUAAAUCUUUGAACUUUGUGCUUGAAAUAAUAUGCAAGUCAAAUAUUCUAUAUGAAACGUGUUUAUUUUUUCUUUCAAAAUCAGGGACGCAGAUAUGGUGGUGCUGAUGACACUUCUUCUGGUGAAACUCUGGAUCCACAGACAGGAAAGGAAAACCUAGAACAACAAUGAGACUUUUGCAAAAUUAGGGCUUUUUCCAAUACAGUGGUUGUAUUAAAUGUACAGCUUUUCAGAAGUUCGGUUUCUCAAAAAAAGGGUUGAUUGUUUACAAAGGUUUCUCAAAAAAGGUGGCUUGUUAAAAUAGGUCUCAAAAAGAUUUAUUGCAAAGGGGUCUCAAAUGAUUUGUUGCAAAGGGGUCUCAAAUGAUUUGUUGCAAAAGGGUCUCAAAUGAUUUGUUGCAAAAGGUCUCAAAGAUUUAUUGCAAAGGGUCUCAAAGAUUUGUUUCAAUGGUAUCAAAGAUUUGUUCAAGGAUUGUAUUAGUAGCCAGAGUGGGAUAGAAGGGGGAUAGAAAGGCAGAGUGGCUUUUCAAUCAGAAAGAGUGGUAGAGGAGACAGGAAAGUCAGAGGGACCAAAAUGAUAGGGGAGAGUGGGGAGACUGGACAGGAUACCUGUAAGACACAAUGGAAAAAAACAUUAAUCUUUUUUUAUUAAAGACAAAAUUAAAUGAUCCAACAUCCACCCAAAGCUAGUGAGAUUAUAAUGUACUUUUACUCAAUCCACCAAGUGGCUGUCCUCAACUAUACAUCUAUCAAAAGUCAAGUUGAGUCAAAAGCUGGAAGUGACCAUUGUCUUGUUCGAUAACCCUUCAAUCAAAUUAAUGACUAAAAAUACAGUGUUCAUAAGAGAUAACUGAAAAUGUAUUUAAGAUACAAAGAACUUUAUUUAUCCCCUAAGGGAAAUUCAAUUGUCUGUAGUCUCACUUGUCAUGUCUCAAAAAGUCAUCUACUAUUUAAAUUGUAGAGUCUGAUGGCUGUGGGUACAAAAGAUCUUAUGAGUCUUUCUGUCCUGCAGCAGAGAGAGGAGCCGUCCACCACCAUAGGCCUUUCGGUCCACCAAGGUGUUGUGAAGUGGGUGAGCCAAAUUCUUUUGAAUAGCCUCCACCUUCCUAACAGUACAUCUCUCCACCACAUCCUCCAGCGAGUCCAACUUGAAUCCAACCACAGAACCAUAAAUUUAAAUUUAGGACCUCAAAGUAUUUUACAAAAGUUUCUAUUAUCCCUGCGCAUUUUAGACUCUUUAUUUUAAGUUCCCUCUAUAAUGUUUAUAACCAUGUCCUGGUAAGCAGUAACAACAAUGGAUUACUCUGCUGAUAAAAUAUGAUGUGUUUUGGAAAAUGUUAUUUCCUUUACCGUGUUUUAAGUAUUCCUACAAUGUAAUAAGUUAUGAGGCCAAGCAGCUCCGUAAGCUGUAAACAGAAGCAUGCAAAGUACCUUAGAAGGAUAUACACAUUUCUAAACAUAGGAUUAAAUGAAUAAUAAAAUAAAUCAAUGGCGGCAUAGAUAGUGAUUGUCUAUUCCAUAUUAAGGAACAUUAAAUUAGAUUUUUUUUCUAAUAUAAAGAGCUGCACAAAGGAGGUAAUCACAUUCAAUUAGUAAUUAUUUGGAUUUUCAUGAUGAACUCCACAAUUUAAUAGUAACAAAUUGCUUUCCAAUGAUUGGAAAUAAAAUGCAAAUAAGUGUAUUGUAUAUCACAUUUAACCUGUUCAUUUCCAACUGUGAAUAUUACAUUAUCAAAGGGGAAAAAAAAAAAGUUUGGACAUGAUGAGGGGUGUAUUGAAUAAAGGCACCCUGCGUUAUUCAUGAAAAUGUCAUUCCUGUGUGAACUUACGUCGAGUCGCCACAAAACGGUCUGCACUUGGAGACAGGAUAGAGUUGGCAAGAAGGAAAAUGGAAAAAAAGAGACAAGAGAUUUUUAGUUUAGUUGUACAAAACCAGCACAUCUCACUGCAUUGUCGUUUCAAUUGUAAUCAGCCUGCAAAAUUAUUUCUAUUUGGUUCUGCUUUAGUUUAAAUAAAGUGUUUUUUUAAAUGGUUUGUGUUACAAUGAGAAUGUGCUGCAGUUUGUCAAAUAAGGACAUAGUGUCAGGUUUUUACAUGAUGUGUUGUAAAAAGUGUCAGUGUUACUUUAUUUGUGAACUUACAGCUGAAUCGCCAACAGUGAGUAGGGCCCGCAGCAGAGAUAGCGUUGAGGAGUUCAGAGAAGGGAAAAGACAGAGGGACAAAAAAAUAAAAUUUAGUUGCUCUCUUAGCUUGUAAAAAUGUUUGUUAAAAUGGAGAGAAAUGCACAAACACAAUGAAGGACCGCUUUACUUUUUAAUUUCUUAUGUAAUUGAGGUGAAAUACGCAACACUGAAAUGUCAUUAUAAACUGCAGAGAAAAAUGUAACAUUUAAUUGAUUGCUUAAUAAGUAUAUACAAGUGUGAACUUACACUUCAGAGUUGGUAGGGAAUUUCACACAGGUCAGAGGACAAGAUGAUGCAGGAGGAGGGGGAGAGGGAAGAAAAGAGUUUUUUAUUACACUCAAAAGAGACGCCCUCACAGCUCACUUCAUUCAAAGUAAUGAUUAUUAUCAAAGUAAUAGUAAUUAUCUGAAUGAUUUUCCCACUUAAUUAUUGUCAAAAUUUAGAUUCAGACUUUCCCAUCAAGUUAAAAUGUUUAAAAUAAAUGAAUUUAGUAGUAUAGUAAUAUUGUUAGCUCACUGUUGUCUACUAGGAAAAAACUGUAUCCCAUCUAUGAUUUUCAUAUAGCAUAUACAACAGUGUUACAGAUAAAUCAACAUUUCAUAUCAAUUUAAACUCAGUAUUUGAAAAAUGCAUCAUAUGUUGUACAUUAUCUUGAAUGACAUGUUGUUAAACAGGAUUAAGCUAAUCAUUAAUCCGGUUAUUUUUAUUUUGUUUGUUGUCAGUCUUGGUCAAAACACUUAUACUUACCAACAAAUGCACUGGAGCGGAUGUAUCUUCUAUUUGAGACAAGAAACAAUACAUUAGUGUUUUCUGACAGAUAGCACAUUAAAAACAAUAGGCCUAUAAAGAAAACUAACAUUAUUACAGUAGUUCGGCUAAUUGAAAACUAAACAGCUCCAACAGAUCACCUGGCUGUUAGCUGCAGCUGAAAAUGUCACACAUAAUACAUACUGUAUUAAAGUAUAUAUACCUCAGAUAAAGUAUCUUUGCUGUGGUGUUAGCACAUCACCAAUAUCCAAAUUAACAGCUUGUUAUCAAAGGUAAAUUAGGUACAGUAGACGGUGAAGUUCAGUAGCAGCCAACAAGACAGAGACAGACCAGGAGCAGGUCCACCAACUUCAAGGCAGCUAACUCUUCAUCCAUCAACUCAAUAUUAAGAUAAGAACUUUAUUGAUCCCUAAAGGGAAAUUCAACUGGAAUAUAUUUAUUAAUUAGAACUUCAUAUUGUUAAACAUUAAAUACUGAAUUCAUUUUAUGUUUUGCAAUGUAAAUAUCUCUAUCAUCUCCAUCAUGAAUAAAACCCUCAAUAAUAGAGGACCAUCUAGGUCCAUUCUGACACAUAAAAAAAAAAACCACUCAUAUUUGUGCUGUACCUGGAUGCUUGCUAAAUGCAGCCUAUAUUUUAAUACAUCCACAAUGGCUGAUAAAAAGUGACCAGGAGCUGAACAGCUGACGUCUCCAGACCAGUUCCCCAGCAAUGGCUAAGUCACAGUAAUGAACUGAACCUGUAGCAAUGCCGCUAGCGUCAUUAGUUAGCUAGUUAGUCAGUUAAUACUUGACAAUAUGACUAUUCUUGUCAGUCCCAUUGUCAGUAAACUCCACAGCCUGGACAUCAUUUGGCCCACUUUAUAGUACCGCAGCGGCUUACAUAUUCACUUUCUUUUGUGCUCAGCUGGCUAAUGAUUCAGCCUCACAGCUGAGGGUAUGUUGACUUUAGCGUUAGCUCGACGCUAGCGGCGCUAACGGCGCUAGCUCGACGCUAGCGGCGCUAGCGGCGCUAGCUCGACGCUAGCGGCGCUAACUCGACGCUAACAGCGUUAGCGUACGCUUUUUCAACUCAAUAUAUCGACCACUUCAAUCAUGAAUGAACUCUUCAUUGAUUAUAACUAAAACCAGUGCCAUAUGAAACGUUAAAUCGCCGUUUGAAGUGUUCAGAAGUUAGAGCGCCUGUGCUCUGACUUACCUUCGUCGAGGUCGGAGAAGGAUAGCGCGAGCCACCAGUGAGUCACGGUAGAAAUGUUUGAGGCGUUCAGGGACACUCGGACAUGUCAUACUUCACACGACCGAAAGGCAGUGGUUCAAUCAAUUCAUUUUAAUUGUUUUCUAGUACUAAUAGUAGCAAGACUAGUUGAAGUAGAAGUUGUAGAAGUGGAAGUGGGAUUUUGUUUGAAGAAUUGAAAUAUGCAUGAAUAGUAAAAACGAUUUAAAAUGGGGAAAAUAUAACUAAUAAAAAAUCCUAAAGUAUUAGAAAGGUUUGAAGAGUCAGAGAGGUUUGAAUAAGAGUGAGUUUAAAUUUAUUAGAAGAAUUGAAAAAUGCACAAAUAAUGAGUUAUUUUAAAUUAAGGACAAUUUAAAUGAAUAGAAAUCCUCUGUAGACUCCAUAAUGUCCUCAAUGAGCAGAAUUUCUGAAGCCCAAAAUGUGUCUGUAUCUCGAAGUUUGUGAGAGAAGAUAGGUGGUGAAGCAGCCACAUGGUCAAAGUGUGUUCAGGUCUCAUAGACAGAGAGAGACUCACGCAUGGACAUAUUUACUGUGUGUACUUGAAGGUCUCAUAGAGAGAAGGAGGCUGACGCACACACAUUGGCUGAGUGUGUGUGUAGCUCGUUAAUGAUUGCAUCCUAAACAGCUGUGAGAUCAAAGGCAAAUCACUGACCUAUUGUUUGAAUGGAGAAGCUGCUGAACUGCAGUGAAUUUAGGGCCCUGAACUUCUUCACAUAGCACGAUUUCCUUAAAUCCCAGAAUGAAAAUAAGAACAUCGUACGAAUCCUCCGCCCUUCAUGAACACAAUGAUGUGUUUUUCAUGUCUGUACUCCAAAAAAUAUGGCC
Molecule: non-coding RNA, 11876 nt
Organism: Xyrichtys novacula (pearly razorfish)
Lineage: Eukaryota; Metazoa; Chordata; Actinopteri; Labriformes; Labridae
Source: the annotation of a GenBank genome assembly